This 389-nucleotide ribosomal RNA is filed under the name uncultured bacterium. RNAcentral's name for it is "bacterial SSU rRNA". It matches the Rfam family "Bacterial small subunit ribosomal RNA", at positions 29 to 408 of the family's 1533-position model. The record is from RNAcentral.
AAUGAACGCUGGCGGCGCGCCUAAUACACGCAAGUCGAGCGAGAAGACGUAGCAAUACGUUUGUAAAGCGGCGAACGGGUGAGGAAUACAUGGGUAACCUACCCUAGAGUGGGGAAUAACUAGCCGAAAGGUUAGCUAAUACCGCGUACGCUCCUUGGACUUCGGUUCAGGGAGGAAAGCGAUGCCGAGGGUAUCGCGCUCUUGGAUGGGCUCAUGUCCUAUCAGCUUGUUGGNGAGGUAACGGCUCACCAAGGCUUCGACGGGUAGCUGGUCUGAGAGGACGAUCAGCCACACUGGCACUGCGACACGGGCCAGACUCCUACGGGAGGCAGCAGUAAGGAAUAUUGCGCAAUGGGCGAAAGCCUGACGCAGCGACGCCGCGUGGGGGA